CUACGAUGUAUAAAUAAAGCUGACUACAAAGCCUCGGAACGGAGCCACCAGAUCCUGGCGUCGUGACUACCUGCACUGCAACCACCGUUUCUAGCGAAGCGAGGAAAAGCCCAGAGUCGUACAUUCGCCUACUGGCCAGUGUCUUAUACAGGUCCACGACGCCAGGUUCUCGGUGACGCCGGGAAAAAGAACACAGCGCAACAUUGAAGGCUGCUUUGCUGGCCCUGAAAGCCGAGGCUGACCUGGACUCCUGCUCUCCCCUGUACCACCUUCGACGUGACCCUGACCAAAUGCUGCAGCAGCUGGACUUACAAAAACAAUUUCCUGAAAAUGUCAACAGGGCUGCAGAAAAGCGAUCUUAUGCAGCGGAGACGGAGAGCGUUAAAACCAAGGCCCGUUUCACUACACGGGGGAAAAUUCCCAGACAGCUUCAGCUGACAGAGCUGUGACGAGACGCCUGCCAAGCCGACAACUUAUGACAAGUAAGGCCGAGCAAAAGAAUGCUGACCUUAACAAUUCUGCAUUAACACUGUGCAGGACAGGGAUGGACCAACACGGCAGCAAAAAGGGCGUGCCAGAGACAGGAGGAGCAACUGAGGUCGAAUGGACAAAACACAGAAGAAGAUGCAGUUUUCACCUGCGGUGAGCAUGGACACUGGAG
Molecule: long non-coding RNA, 661 nt
Organism: Oreochromis aureus
Lineage: Eukaryota; Metazoa; Chordata; Actinopteri; Cichliformes; Cichlidae
Source: Ensembl